GAUGAACGCUAGCGAUAGGCCUAACACAUGCAAGUCGAGGGGCAUCACAUGAAGUAGCAAUACGGAUGGUGGCGACCGGCGCACGGGUGAGUAACACGUAUGCAACCUGCCUUCAACAAGGGGAUAACCCGUUGAAAGACGGACUAAUACCCUAUAAUACAGGGGUCCCGCAUGGGGAUAUUUGUUAAAGAUUGAUCGGUUGAAGAUGGGCAUGCGUUCCAUUAGCUGGUUGGUGAGGUAACGGCUCACCAAGGCAACGAUGGAUAGGGGAACUGAGAGGUUUAUCCCCCACACUGGUACUGAGACACGGACCAGACUCCUACGGGAGGCAGCAGUGAGGAAUAUUGGUCAAUGGACGCAAGUCUGAACCAGCCACGUCGCGUGAAGGAGACGGCCCUACGGGUUGUAAACUUCUUUUGUAAGGGAAUAAAGUGCCCCACGCGUGGGGUUUUGCAUGUACCGUAUGAAUAAGGAUCGGCUAACUCCGUGCCAGCAGCC
RNAcentral lists this ribosomal RNA (498 nucleotides) under uncultured bacterium. RNAcentral describes it as "bacterial SSU rRNA". It matches the Rfam family "Bacterial small subunit ribosomal RNA", at positions 28 to 516 of the family's 1533-position model. The record is from RNAcentral.